GACGAACGCUGGCGGCGUGCCUAAUACAUGCAAGUUGAGCGAUGAAGAUUGGUGCUUGCACCAAUUUGAAGAGCAGCGAACGGGUGAGUAACGCGUGGGGAAUCUGCCUUUGAGCGGGGGACAACAUUUGGAAACGAAUGCUAAUACCGCAUAACAACUUUAAACAUAAGUUUUAAGUUUGAAAGAUGCAAUUGCAUCACUCAAAGAUGAUCCCGCGUUGUAUUAGCUAGUUGGUGAGGUAAAGGCUCACCAAGGCGAUGAUACAUAGCCGACCUGAGAGGGUGAUCGGCCACAUUGGGACUGAGACACGGCCCAAACUCCUACGGGAGGCAGCAGUAGGGAAUCUUCGGCAAUGGACGAAAGUCUGACCGUGCAACGCCGCGUGAGUGAAGAAGGUUUUCGGAUCGUAAAACUCUGUUGGUAGAGAAGAACGUUGGUGAGAGUGGAAAGCUCAUCAAGUGACGGUAACUACCCAGAAAGGGACGGCUAACUACGUG
This 497-nucleotide ribosomal RNA is filed under the name uncultured bacterium. Its description in RNAcentral is "partial 16S ribosomal RNA". It matches the Rfam family "Bacterial small subunit ribosomal RNA", at positions 28 to 507 of the family's 1533-position model. The record is from RNAcentral.